Teleopsis dalmanni is the source of this 736-nucleotide RNA transcript. It is a transcript of the gene named transcription initiation factor TFIID subunit 1-like, with no coding region annotated. The transcript has 3 exons. The record is from RefSeq and is a predicted model, not a curated record. NCBI's taxonomy places the organism in Eukaryota, Metazoa, Arthropoda, Insecta, Diptera, Diopsidae.
CAGCAAGCAGCUGAAGCAAUGGUGCAGUUGAGUGGAGUCGGAUUCUACACUCAACAGCAACAAGAUGACUCAAUGGAACUGGACCCGAACUAUGAUUUAGGCGAUUUUCUCACAAUGCGCAAUCGUAACAAUAAUAAUUCACAAGAUCAAGAAUUUUUGGCAAUACAAAAUGAUGAAAAUGCCCAAAUGAAUAGCACAACUAGUUCUAACGAAAAUGGAGACAACAGCAUGCAACAACCAAUAAUGCCUUUAUUGUUGCCGGGUAACGAUAACGUUGGCAUUGAUGAGGACUUGGCUAUAUCUGAAAGUGACGAAGAGGAUGAAAAUGGUAGUGGUAUGGCGAUUAAAAGAGAACCCGUUCAUGAAAACGAUAAUAACGCCAAUGAUUCUGCUCAAAACCAGCUACCAACGGAUCGAAAAGAUGAAUUUAAGCACGAGGAUAAUGACGAUGAUGGCUGGUUGCGAUUUUAAACGUACGAAAUAUUUAAUAAUGGAUUGGUACUAAUAAUUGUAGACGUUGAUAUUUUGGUUCAAAUCAAAUGGCAUUUGCGGAAGAUCGUUAAAAAUCAGUAAAACAGGAUUAAAAUGCACGGAACGAUCAGAACCUAUUCCCACUUGAUUUUAACCAAGCGGUAAAUGUUAUUGUACAUGUUAGUUUGUAAGUUUAAAUUUAAGAACAUAAUUAGCAAAGCUUCAAAACAAUGUUAUCUAUCUAUCAUAAUUUACUUAUAAUAAA